AACGCACGAGACCUGCGGACCUGCGGAGGGAUCAUUAAUGAGAAGCUGCCCCUCGUGGGUAGACCCCCCACCCUCUGUGAACUUACCUUUGUUGCUUUGGCAGGCCCGUCCUCUGGACCGCCGGCUUCGGCUGGCCCGUGCCUGCCAGAGGAUUCCAAACCCUGUCUGUCAGUGUUGUCUGAGUCUAUAUGAAAUCGUUAAAACUUUCAACAAUGGAUCUCUAGAUCGGAAGAGCACACG
RNAcentral lists this unclassified non-coding RNA (240 nucleotides) under soil metagenome. RNAcentral describes it as "partial contains 5.8S ribosomal RNA, internal transcribed spacer 2, and large subunit ribosomal RNA". The record is from RNAcentral.